This 416-nucleotide ribosomal RNA is filed under the name uncultured bacterium. Its description in RNAcentral is "bacterial SSU rRNA". It matches the Rfam family "Bacterial small subunit ribosomal RNA", at positions 102 to 520 of the family's 1533-position model. The record is from RNAcentral.
ACGGGUGCGUAACACGUGGGCAAUCUGCCCUUUGAUGGGGAAUAACCCGCCGAAAGGCGGGCUAAUUCCGCAUAAGAUUCCCGGAACUUCGGUUCUGGGAUUGAAAGCAGCAAUGCGUCGAAGGAGGAGCCCGCGCCCGAUUAGCUAGUUGGUGAGGUAACGGCUCACCAAGGCUAUGAUCGGUAGCUGGUCUGAGAGGAUGAUCAGCCACACUGGAACUGAGACACGGUCCAGACUCCUACGGGAGGCAGCAGUGGGGAAUCUUGCACAAUGGGCGAAAGCCUGAUGCAGCGACGCCGCGUGGGGGAUGAAGCAUUUCGGUGUGUAAACCCCUUUCGACUGGGAAGAAUACCUCGCAAGAGGGGUGACGGUACCAGUAGAAGAAGCCCCGGCUAACUACGUGCCAGCAGCCGCGG